RNAcentral lists this long non-coding RNA (2879 nucleotides) under Taeniopygia guttata (zebra finch). RNAcentral describes it as "lncRNA (ENSTGUG00000019987.1)". The record is from RNAcentral. Lineage: Eukaryota; Metazoa; Chordata; Aves; Passeriformes; Estrildidae.
AAACAGCGAAGGGAAAACAAGCACAAGUUUCUCCUCUGCCUGUUUGCACCGACUGACUAUGUGCGAGAGUCAGCAGAUGAACUCUGGAAGACCUUAAAGUAAACAGAAAACGGAAAGAGAAACCAAAUUCCAAAGCAGCUCUCUAGGGAAGUCGGUGGAAGCGAAGGGAGAAGCCGCGGCAGUCCGGGGGCUCAGCCCGCCGCUGUCUCAGAACUGUCACUCACUGCACGUUAAUCUGAGCUCAGGAUUUAUUUCUCUGCCGUGACUUCCCAGCUCUGAAUAGAUAUCACUUUUAGAGACAGAAUGGGACCUGAAAAGACUCUCGAGCACUGAACAGAGUGGGAGAAGAUGACAGUUGCUGAUGCUGUGAUCGCUUCAUCUAUUUUUGCUGAUGUACUACUCAGUGCUACAAUUUAGUCCUACUAAUUGAUUCCUCCUACAAGAAAACAGCUGAUGAACACCCGUUUUAAAAAGAACUGAAUCCAUGGCAGUAAACAGAGCUUUUUGACAUCAGGUUUCAGGGGUUGCAAAAGGCUUCAGCUCUGUCUCUCAAAGGAAUGGGAGACAUGUGGAAACAGCCUCCAGGUCAAAUGGAGAGCUCUAUGCCAGCACACUGCUCUUUCAGAAGGUAUCACAAGUACCUGUGUCAGCUCUCCAUGCCCUGGAGACCCACCUAUCGUCUCUGCAAGUCUCUGCAGCUGCCACCACAGCUGAUGCAGUUAGGUCUCCUCUGAGCUCAACAGGCAGAAGCACAUCAGGUCUGAUCCUGCAGUCUGACACACACUUGAACAACAACAUCUUCCCACAUACAGGGGACCAGCACAGAUAAAAGGAGCAACCCAUCUCUCAUGCCCACAAAGAGCAAAAAGAAGGGCACUGUUCUUGCAAGAUUUUGCCUUGUCAAUGCCAGUGCUGAAAUGUAGAAGGAUGGAAGUUCCUGCAUUUGAUACGUCAUGAGAAGAUAAAUACAAUGCUGCCUUUCCUGUCUUGACAGUCUGUAGGGUGCUAAGUACCCUGUGGGGAGGCUUAGGAGGGGUUUUUGGUGUAAUUCAAAUACAUCCAGAUAAGGCAAGGUACAGUAAUGCCUCUUUCUGUUAUAUUUUAUUGUUGUCAUGCCCUGACAUGGUCUGGGAGAUGUCAUUUGUCCCACAUCAGCUGGACACCCUCCAUGGCAUCAGUGAUGGCUCUGCAGUGAUGUCUCAGGCUGACAGCAAUGACAUGGUUUGAGUCAGAGCAGAGAAAUCUGCCCUGGGUGCGUGGAUCCAACAUCUACAGAACCUUUAGUUCACUAACCAGCACCUGCCAGCUCUACAGCUAGCCAGGGAGCAGCCAACAGAUAUUCCUGACAUCAGUGUGAUGUGCUCAAGCAAAUGCAUUUCAGAGUACCUUAACAUCUUCUCAAAACAUGCAAUAGUGAGCCUAGCUACCCUAGGGGUCUGUGUAAUGAACUUUAUUUUUUUAGAGAGAAAUUAAAAGUGCUUGAUAUCAUGUCAUUAGGCUGGUCUGGCCAUGUCUACAUCAGAGUCAGGAAGAUCCCAAAGGUCCAGAAGUGGAAGUAGUGUUUGUGCAAACAGGCUGAACCUAGGGACUGAUCUGGCCCCACUACACUUUGGAGGUUACCAGCACAACACAGCAUUUGCUCAGCAUCAUGUGAUACUCUGAGAGCAACAUGAGUUUUCCAUUUCUCUUCACUACUAUCUCUAGGAUUUCUCAUAAACUGUGAGCAUCAUCCCUCCCAGUGACUUGUAAAUGUACAACAAAGAGUUCUGCACUGUCACAGCAAGAGUCACAUUAAAUACUUGGCAAUAUAACUGGAUUUAGUAAGUGCAAACAUGCACUUAUGCCGAGUCUAGCUAGGAACUACAGCCUUAAAGUGCUGUAGCUCAUCAGACACCUGGAAGGACAGGACAUUGAAAAAGCUUUACUAGUUUAUUUCUUGUAUAUAUUUCCUUUCAAGAGCAGUGGGUCAGUGUGCCAGUGCUACAUCAGCAAAGAAAACAAUAAAGUGCAGAAAAUGGUCCAAAAAGGAAAUCAGGGUAGUUUCAUACAACUGUAGCAGCAGAUAGUCCGACCUAAUUUAGAAGUUUACCCUACUUGGAGUCCAGAUACCUCUCUCUAAAUUUUUUUAGGAAAAAUGGUAAAUUAUUCAAAGGAUCUUUUUUAACCACACAGCCAAAAUUACAUUAGACGAUAUAAGACAUAUAUAAUAGCCAGCAAUUCUAAAGCAGUGACAUAAAAAUAUUAUGAUUGUCACAGUUGCCCAAUGAAAAUUUGGUCAAAUCAUCAGGUUUCACUUUAUUUAAGAACAUGGAUAUUUUCCAAGGUUUCCCUCAAAGACAUUAUAUAUUUACAAAAUCAUUGCAUGGAAGAGGACUACUGAUCCCAGUUUUGGCAAUGAGAACUCCAUCCCAUACUCCAGAUCAUUAAUAAGGACAUUGGAUGGUCUCCCACCAUCAGUCCCUGAGGAAUUCUUCAGGUAGAUUUUAUCCUACUGAUCACAACACCAGGAAUUCCAGACAAUUUUCCACCAACAUGCUCAUCCAUUAACCCAGCCCCUAUGCCCUCAGUGAUGAUGACAGGAUACUGUGGGUGUGUGUCAAAGGCCUUGUUAAACAACAUAAGGUGCUGUUCCUCACCUGCUGAAACAUCAUCCUAUGCCAGAAGUAGAUCAGGGUGGGCAUGGUUUUGGGACUUCAAUACUUUCUCCUCCCCAAAACCUUCUUGCCUUUCAUUGCAUUGCUUGGGAAUAGCUCCCAGGAGGAUCUCUAUAAUCUUCCUGUGGGAGUUAAAAACAGCUGUGAAUAUACUAAUGCCUUACUGAAGGAAUUUGGAGUAACUAUAGGAAUGCAAAAAGAAAAAAAAAAAAAAAAAAAAAAAAA